GUAGGGAAUAUUGCACAAUGGGCGAAAGCCUGAUGCAGCAACGCCGCGUGCGCGAAGAAGGCCUUCGGGUUGUAAAGCGCUUUUCGGGGAGAUGAGAAAGGACAGUAUCCCCGGAAUAAGGCUCGGCUAACUACGUGCCAGCAGCCGCGGUAAAACGUAGGAGCCUAGCGUUAUCCGAAUUCACUGGGCGUAAAGCGCGUGCAGGCGGCUUGGUAAGUUGGAUGUGAAAUCUCUCGGCUCAACUGGGAGAGGACGUUCAAUACUGCCAGGCUAGAGGGCGGAAGAGGGAGGUGGAAUUCCCGGUGUAGUGGUGAAAUGCGUAGAUAUCGGGAGGAACACCAGUGGCGAAGGCGGCCUCCUAGGCCGCUCCUGACGCUCAGACGCGAAAGCUAGGGGAGCGAACGGGAUUAGAUACCCCAGUAGUCC
RNAcentral lists this ribosomal RNA (426 nucleotides) under uncultured bacterium. RNAcentral describes it as "bacterial SSU rRNA". It matches the Rfam family "Bacterial small subunit ribosomal RNA", at positions 354 to 796 of the family's 1533-position model. The record is from RNAcentral.